GGCUCAGAACGAACGCUGGCCGCGUGCCUAAUACAUGCAAGUCGAGCGGAUGAGGAAGAAGCUUGCUUCUUCUGAUUCAGCGGCGGACGGGUGAGUAACACGUGGGCAACCUGCCCUGUAGAUUGGGAUAACUCCGGGAAACCGGGGCUAAUACCGAAUAAUCCAUUUCCUCACAUGGGGAGAUGUUAAAAGACUUAUCACUUACGGAUGGGCCCGCGGUGCAUUAGCUUGUUGGUGGGGUAAUGGCCUACCAAGGCGACGAUGCAUAGCCGACCUGAGAGGGUGACCGGCCACACUGGGACUGAGACACGGCCCACUCCUACGGGAGGCAGCAGUGGG
This 339-nucleotide ribosomal RNA is filed under the name uncultured Caryophanales bacterium. RNAcentral's name for it is "bacterial SSU rRNA". It matches the Rfam family "Bacterial small subunit ribosomal RNA", at positions 21 to 358 of the family's 1533-position model. The record is from RNAcentral. Lineage: Bacteria; Bacillati; Bacillota; Bacilli; Caryophanales.